AGUCGAGCGGAUGAGAGGAGCUUGCUCCUCGAUUCAGCGGCGGACGGGUGAGUAAUGCCUAGGAAUCUGCCUGGUAGUGGGGGACAACGUUUCGAAAGGAACGCUAAUACCGCAUACGUCCUACGGGAGAAAGCAGGGGACCUUCGGGCCUUGCGCUAUCAGAUGAGCCUAGGUCGGAUUAGCUAGUUGGUGAGGUAAUGGCUCACCAAGGCGACGAUCCGUAACUGGUCUGAGAGGAUGAUCAGUCACACUGGAACUGAGACACGGUCCAGACUCCUACGGGAGGCAGCAGUGGGGAAUAUUGGACAAUGGGCGAAAGCCUGAUCCAGCCAUGCCGCGUGUGUGAAGAAGGUCUUCGGAUUGUAAAGCACUUUAAGUUGGGAGGAAGGGUUGUUUCCUAAUACGAAGCAAUUUUGACGUUACCGACAGAAUAAGCACCGGCUAACUCUGUGCCAGCAGCCGCGGUAAUACAGAGGGUGCAAGCGUUAAUCGGAAUUACUGGGCGUAAAGCGCGCGUAGGUGGUUUGUUAAGUUGAAUGUGAAAUCCCCGGGCUCAACCUGGGGACUGCAUCCAAAACUGGCAAGCUAGAGUAGGGUA
This 598-nucleotide ribosomal RNA is filed under the name bacterium 88-L049393-122-001-H11. Its description in RNAcentral is "bacterial SSU rRNA". It matches the Rfam family "Bacterial small subunit ribosomal RNA", at positions 60 to 653 of the family's 1533-position model. The record is from RNAcentral.